UCCCUAGUACUCAGAGGUAAAGAAUCUGCCUGCAAUGCAGGAAACCCAGGUUCGAUCCCUGGGUGGGGAA
Molecule: transfer RNA, 70 nt
Filed under: Ovis aries (sheep)
Lineage: Eukaryota; Metazoa; Chordata; Mammalia; Artiodactyla; Bovidae
Rfam family: tRNA
About the family: Transfer RNA (tRNA) molecules are approximately 80 nucleotides in length. Their secondary structure includes four short double-helical elements and three loops (D, anti-codon, and T loops).
Source: Rfam by way of RNAcentral